AAAACAUAGCAGCAAAGAGAACACAAUCAACACAACAACGUGGAAAAAAUAAAGUAAAACAAGCAUCCUGUGACAGCUCCCUAUGCCACAGUCCACAGAGCAUUCAUUAAGGUUCUUCAAGAUGUAUAAAAUACAUAGCGAAUGGUGUUUUUUCGUUGGACAUUUCUUGGGGUUAUAACUUAUAAAUUUAACAUCUGAUCUAGAGCUUGGAUGUCCAGUACCAGUUAAGCAGUUUACUGGUAUUACAUAGUUAACAUAUUAAUUAGAACUUUAUAACAACCACAUUCUAUGACAUAGACCAACUAGUUAAUACUUUAUUUCUGCAGAUGGUAGGUUGACUGAGAUUGUCGUAAUAAUGAUCCCUACUUGAACAGAAUGGCCGCGUUGACAGUCUUAUUAAUUUCAAUCCAGCUUUCUGGUAGCGCAAGAAAACCAGAACAUUUUUCAAGAUGAUAGUGUUCGUUUAAUUAACUUGAUACUCCAUUAAAGUCCACGUUCACAAACAGAAAGAAAAUCUAAUUUCCAGGGUAAGGUCCCACCAUUAUAGGGUCCAGGAAUGGAAUCCAGAUUAUCUUCCUUCUAGGCCAUAACAUAGCUUUACUACUGCCAGUUUCAUAGGGGCAACGAGCUUUGAAUUUCUGUUGCCCUACUUUGACAAACAAUGGACCUAAACCCAAGACAACAAUUUUGAGACUAAUCCUCCACACUUCGGUUUCAAACAAAGAAAAAGAAACCCACGUUUUGAUGUGACCCACACAAAUCACGCAUCGCGAAAGGAAAAAAGUGACUGAAAAAGAAA
Theobroma cacao (cacao) is the source of this 799-nucleotide non-coding RNA. Lineage: Eukaryota; Viridiplantae; Streptophyta; Magnoliopsida; Malvales; Malvaceae. The record is from RefSeq and is a predicted model, not a curated record.